UACAGAGGGUGCGAGCGUUGUUCGGAAUUACUGAGCGUAAAGCGCGCGCAGGCGGCCCUUUAAGUCUGACGGUGAAAUGCCGGGGCUCAACCCCGUGCCCGCCGCGGAUACUGGAGGGCUGGAGACACGUAGAGGCAAGCGGAAUUCCGGGUGUAGCGGUGGAAUGCGUAGAGAUCCGGAAGAACACCGGAGGCGAAGGCGGCUUGCUGGGCGUAGUCUGACGCUGAGGCGCGAAAGCGUGGGGAGCGAACAGG
RNAcentral lists this ribosomal RNA (254 nucleotides) under uncultured bacterium. Its description in RNAcentral is "partial 16S ribosomal RNA". It matches the Rfam family "Bacterial small subunit ribosomal RNA", at positions 524 to 776 of the family's 1533-position model. The record is from RNAcentral.